Molecule: long non-coding RNA, 222 nt
Filed under: Gossypium raimondii (Peruvian cotton)
Lineage: Eukaryota; Viridiplantae; Streptophyta; Magnoliopsida; Malvales; Malvaceae
Description: long non-coding RNA (GRAI_LNC004653)
Source: RNAcentral
UUUGUAUUUCAACAUAUUGUAAUUGAAAAAAAAAUCAAAAAAGAAGAAGAAGAGGAAAUUCAAAAAAAAAAUCGAAAAAAAAAUUUGAUUGAAAAAAACAAAAAAAAUUCAAAGUAUAAAAAAAAAGAGUGAAAAGUCUUGUGAGUUUUAUUUUGUUAUUAUUUCUUCUUGCUUCCGAGCAUCCAUUCAUUCUACCAUUCCCUCUACCCCCCAAAAUGCCAC